AAAAAACUUGCGGAGAAGGAGAGAGAGAAGGAGAUGGGAAUAAUCAAGAGCUGCUUCUCCCUGUUGACGGGUAUUGCUUUCGGCGUUUACUUGGCUCAGAAUUACAACGUACCCAACAUCAGGAAGCUCACCAACACCAGUCUCGUCGUCGCCAAGCACAUCGAGGAGAACUAUCGCAAGCCCAAGAAGGACGACGUCGAAUGAUUCGGAAUCUAAAGGUUGAAACUUUAAAGAGGUUUUGUCUCAGUUGUUGAUUUAACUUCAAAAGGUUUGAUGUAAUUUUGACAUGUUCUGGAUCCAUUGAAGUGGGACUAAUGUUCUCUUCAAUUCUUGUUUUAUUUAUACUGAUUUAAACACAGCUCUCACUGUACAUGUCAUGAUCAUAUUCUCUUUUUGUUU
Molecule: long non-coding RNA, 399 nt
Organism: Brassica oleracea var. oleracea
Lineage: Eukaryota; Viridiplantae; Streptophyta; Magnoliopsida; Brassicales; Brassicaceae
Exons: 2
Source: RefSeq, a predicted model, not a curated record